CCAGGUUGAUUCUGCCUGACGUAGACGCUAUUCCCUAAGAUUAACCCAUGCAUGUUUUUGACAUUUGAAAAAUGGACUGCUCAGUAAUACUCACUUUAUUUUAUGUAUAUUUGAAAUUAACUACGUUAAAGUGUAGAUAAGAUGUGUACAGUAAGAGUGAGACCUAUCAGCUAGUUGUUAAGGUAAUGGCUUAACAAGGCAGUGACGGGUAACGGUAUUACUUUGUAAUAUUCCGGAGAAGGAGCCUGAGAGACGGCUACUAAGUCUAAGGAUUGCAGCAGGGGCGAAACUUGACCUAUGGAUUUUAUCUGAGGCAGUUAUGGGAAGUAAUAUUAUAUUGUUUCAUAUUGUAAAAGUAUAUGAGGUGAUUAAUUGGAGGGCAAAUCAAGUGCCAGCAGCCGCGGUAAUACUUGUUCCAAGAGUGUGUAUGAUGAUUGAUGCAGUUAAAAGUCCGUAGUUUAUUUUUAAGAAGCAAUAUGAGGUGUACUGUAUAGUUGGGAGAAAGAUGAAAUGUGACGACCCUGACUGGACGAACA
RNAcentral lists this ribosomal RNA (536 nucleotides) under Nosema sp. B PSH-2011. Its description in RNAcentral is "SSU rRNA". It matches the Rfam family "Microsporidia small subunit ribosomal RNA", at positions 1 to 594 of the family's 1311-position model. Lineage: Eukaryota; Fungi; Microsporidia; Nosematidae. The record is from RNAcentral.